This 1315-nucleotide ribosomal RNA is filed under the name human gut metagenome. Its description in RNAcentral is "bacterial LSU rRNA". It matches the Rfam family "Bacterial large subunit ribosomal RNA", at positions 1378 to 2569 of the family's 2925-position model. The record is from RNAcentral.
GGUGAGUCGGGUCCUAAGGCGAGGCCGACAGGCGUAGUCGAAUGGAUGAACGGGUGGAUAUUCCCGUACCGACCAUGGACCGGCAAAACCGAGACGGUGAGUACUGACCUCCGCCUCGUGGUGGUUCCUUCCUUCGGGUUGGUUCCGUCGCGUGGCGUUGGGACCGUAGCCGCAGUAGGUCAGCGCAGGGGUGACACGGAAUGGGAGCCGGCCGCGGAGGUGGUUUUCCGUGGUCAAGCACGCAGCCAGUCAUGUAGGCAAAUCCGCAUGGCGUGCAUGGCGAGGUGUGAUGAUGGGAGCCGUUAUGGCUCGAUAUCCGGUUGUCCAGGCCGUCGAGAAAAGCCUCGGCGCGAGGGCCAUGGCCGCCCGUACCCCAAACCGACACUGGUGGUCAGGUAGAGAAUACCAAGGCGAUCGAGCGAAUCCUGGUCAAGGAACUCGGCAAAUCACUCCCGUGCCUUCGGUAUAAGGGAGACCCACUGGGGUGAAGGACCUUGCGUCCGGAGCUUUGGUGGGUGGCACAGACCAGGGGGUAGCGACUGUUUACCAAAAACACAGGUGCAUGCGAAGGCGAAAGCCGCUGUAUAUGCACUGACGCCUGCCCGGUGCCGGAAGGUUAAGAGGAUCCGUCAAUCCCUUCGGGGACGAAGCGGUGAAUUCAAGCCCCGGUAAACGGCGGUGGUAACUAUAACCAUCCUAAGGUAGCGAAAUUCCUUGUCGGGUAAGUUCCGACCUGCACGAAUGGCGUAACGACUUCCCCACUGUCUCGACCAGGAGCUCGGCGAAAUUGCAGUACGAGUAAAGAUGCUCGUUAAGCGCAGAAGGACGAAAAGACCCCGGGACCUUUACUAUACCUUGGUAUUGGCGUUAGGCGCGGAUUGUGUAGCAUAGGCGGGAGGCUUCGAAGCGGGUGCGCCAGCAUUCGUGGAGCCGCAAGGUGAAAUACCGCUCUGUUCUCGUUUGACGUCUAACCUCGACAAGUCAUCCUUGUCAGGGACAGUGCCUGGCGGGUAGUUCAACUGGGGCGGUUGCCUCCCAAAGAGUAACGGAGGCGCUCAAAGGUCCGCUCAGCCCGGUUGGCAAUCGGGUGUCGAGUGUAAUCGCACAAGCGGGCUUGACUGCGAGGACGACGGUCCGAGCAGGGACGAAAGUCGGAGAUAGUGAUCCGGUGCCGGCGCACGGGCGCGGCAUCGCUCAACGGAUAAAAGGUACCCCGGGGAUAACAGGCUGAUCAUUCCCAAGAGUCCAUAUCGACGGGAUGGUUUGGCACCUCGAUGUCGGCUCGUCGCAUCCUGGGGCUGGAGCAGGUCCCAAG